AACCUGGAACCCUCUUGCUGUGAGGCAACAGUGCCGUGCCGCCCCAGAAGGAUCCACCAGCAGUCCUGCAGUCCUGCAGCGCAGCGACGGCACCACGCCAACCUGUGCUGGGCUCCCACCACAGCCUCAUCCAAAAUGCUUAAUCAAAAGGGACACUCUCCCAAUUUGGUCCCUCAUGAAAAGGAAGCUGUUAGCCCAUGCUGUGCGCCUUGGCAGCAUGACAGAGAAUUGCCCAGAUUGGUCUGCAACACUGCGAGGACAUUGGAGAGGAGGCUUCUGAUACAAUCUGCAUUUUCUAGCAGGAAGCUGUGACGCACAGGAUGGAUGAGCCCCAGUAAACUGACGUCUCCGGCAGAAACAGGCAGGAUGCUGAGUUAUGACCAACCACUCUGAAGUGAGUAGAGGUGUGUGUGGGGUUAUUUUACAGCAGACAUUUGUACAUGAUUUAAUGAAGGUAAACACAGUGGACGAUUGGGCAUAACGGUGCUACACGCUGGUGCAGCACUUUUCUUUAGGUGACUGCAGGGACUUAAUGAAUUGAACAAGAGGCAGAGUAAGGCAGCUGCAGACAGCAGAUACGGUGAGAAACAUGUUCAUUUAAAGAUAAGUGCAGACUGAUUUACUGACGUCCCUGCUUUAACCACAUUAAUCUUGAUUCUUUGAUCUCCUCACAGUGUGUGUGGGUGUUUCAAUGAAAUAGUGGUCAGCAGUAUUGUGUAAUUACUGCACAUUUGCUGCAAGUAUUUAUUUUGCUCUUAUUGAUUAACUAAGAAAAAAGCAGAUGCCGUUGCAACAGAAACAAACCCAUUUUCCAGACAGUCUGAAACAUGCCAGCUGACAGUCGUACCCUGAUUAGGUGUGAAACAUGUUAGCGCCUUUUCCUAAACUGAACAGUUUGUGUGCCUGAACCUGUGUGAACGUCAAGUGCUCCUCCCGUCAAUCCACCCUGACCCCCUCCCCACGCAGACUUUGUUGUUCUCUAUACUUUGUUAUGCUUUGCUCUCAUCGUUGUUGCCCUCUCCUGGUACUGUGCCUUCACACACACGAGUGCUUUUCACAGCUGGGAGAUGCACGUGAUGCCGACGAACAAAAAUAGGGCCCUUUGACACUUUCAUGUGUCACACCUAUUUUUUUAAAAUCAGUGAACAUAAGUUGGCUUUUUUGAAUUAGUCAUCAAGCUGUAUGAAACUGCUAGCCCUGGCCAAUUUUAAAGCAGGAUGCACAACAUUUACAAAAGAAAAUCUUAAUGGAGUUUAACCCCUCACAUUUUCUAAAUGAACCUUGAACCUGAUUCAGGAGGAGGCUUUAAUGCUGACAGUCCCUGGGACGGAAUAAAUAUACUGCAUUAGAUUCAAGGGGGCAAAUGAGUGAACAGACAGGAAAACAGGCAACAAUGGUGAAAACCCUUGCCGGUAAAUAUCUCUUAAUUAACAUUCCUCCUUCAUUGUUGAGAAAACAUUUCAAACACGUUCCCAUGCUGCGUGAUAUAAAGUGUUCAAAGUGAAACCCUGAAGUAAAGUGUUAUUAUUGAUCAUAUAGAAUAUCUGACAGUAACCAAUACUUUUUAUCUUGCUGCCACGUAUUCUACCUCUGCAGCAGAUCUCAUACUGUAUCAAAGCAAUCAUGUAAUACUGGAUCAGAAAGUUUAAUUAGGUCAAUGUGUUCCAAGCAUGUCUGUGAAUGGUGUUUCUCUCUUUGAACUUAAUUGUGUCAAAACACUUUUUCAUCUUAAAAAGCCCCAUCUGUGACUGCUGCAUGAUGCCUUCUUCUGAAAUCAGCGUGUGUGCGUAUUUGCUUGCACAUUAACUUUCAAGAGCGACUGUUUGUUGUUUGGAAACUCACCACCUGGUAUUAUGUGUGCAUGUUUUUAUGCUAUAAAUCUGUAAAA
Molecule: long non-coding RNA, 1888 nt
Organism: Scatophagus argus
Lineage: Eukaryota; Metazoa; Chordata; Actinopteri; Scatophagidae
Exons: 3
Source: RefSeq, a predicted model, not a curated record